Zingiber officinale is the source of this 1967-nucleotide RNA transcript. RefSeq lists it as uncharacterized. The transcript has 8 exons. The record is from RefSeq and is a predicted model, not a curated record. NCBI's taxonomy places the organism in Eukaryota, Viridiplantae, Streptophyta, Magnoliopsida, Zingiberales, Zingiberaceae.
CCUGCUCUCCCGAGGCCCUGCAAUAUUGUUAUGAGGGCGGCGGCCGAGGAAAAUACGAAGACGAGAUUAUGGCGAGGGUCAGCGCGGUAGAGUGGGCUAGGGGCGGCGGCGGUUGCUGCUGUUCAUUCAAGAGGAUUGCCUUCAUGAUUUGCUGCGUUAAUCUGGUCGCCGCGCUUCUCGUGGUUCGAUCGUUGUACACUUCUUUCUUCUUCCCCCCUUCGUCUGGUAUCAGUGGCAAUUCCCUUGCCGAUCAGAUAAUGAGGACGGAAGAAUCGAUCCGGAUUCGAGGAGAAAUGGAACCUUUGGCUCUAGUUAGCGCGGUGAGGAAGCUGAAAAAGAAGUUGUCCGGAGAUCAGAAAAGGGGACUUAUUCAAUUGCCACAACCGGUGAUGUAUAAGUUCGCCUAUGAGAUUCUGGAGAGGUUGCAAGGUCUUCACAAUACUAACGUGACAGAACAACAGGCUGCAGUGAAUUUAUGGCGUAUCCAAAAGCUUGAAGUAGUUAGAAAGGAAGCAAGUUCGAAAUCUUCAAAUUCAAGCAUCCGGUAUCAGGAAGCAAUGUGGUUCAUAGAGAUGUUGAAACAAGCACUGGUGACUAAUUGGCAUGUUCUAAUGGAAGGAAUUGGAUUUUGGAUCGCAGCCAAUGUUAUGAACACUGAGCAUGAUGAUAAACCCGAGAAUGAAACUGAUAUUGAAGAGAUAAUUCCUGGUCGGCCAAUGGCUCCUGAAUGCCAUGCUGAGCUUCAUACUGAGGGGGCGGAUCUUCUGGACCCAAAAUUCCUUAAACCACAUAUCCCAUAUAAAAUUCUCCCUCACGUGCAAAGCGCGUGCACGCGCCGACGCACAAAGAAGCCCCAAAAGCCCUAGCCUCUCGAACUCUCCUCCCUCCAGCGUCACCUCCUUCCGGCUACCUCCACCGUCCUGUUGCCUCCCUCCGAAGUUGUCGCCCUCCAGCGCCGUCUCCCUCCCGCCGCCUCCCUCCAACAUUGUCGACAUCCAGCGCUGCCUCUGCACAAAAGCCCUAGCCUCUCGACAUCCAGCGCUACCUCUGCACAAAAGCCCUAGCCUCUAGACAUCCAGCGGCGCCUCCCUCGUCGCCUGCGGCCUCCCUCCAGCGUCGUCUCCCUCUCGCGACCUCCCUCCAGCAUCGCCUACCUCCAGCGUCGCCUCCCUCCCAUUGCCUCCAUCGUCGCCUGCGACCUCCCUCUAGCGUCGUCUCCCUCACGCGACCUCCCUCCAGCAUUGUUGACCUCCAGCGCCCUCCCGCCAGCAUCGGGGACCUCCAGCGACCUCCCUCUACCUCGCUUCUGUGACCUCCAGCAGCCUCUAGCGACCUCAAAUUUGAUUCCAGCGACCUCCGUCCUUGGCACUGUGUGGAAGAAAGAAAGAACCUUUUCGAUUGUUGCUGAAAAACUUCUCAUUUUUUUUGUGCUGCUGAUCCUUCUCAGAAAGGUACAAGAAAAAAAUCAUGGCAUCUGACUCUUCAUCAGCAUCAUCUUUCACUCGAUGACGUAUAAACGAUGAGCAAUGUGAAGCUCCCAAAUAUUAUGUAAUUGUGGGUUACGAGCUAUUCUCCAAAUAUCAUGGACAGAAUCUAAUCCAGGAAGGCGAUUUUUUUCAUGUCCAAAAUAUAGACAAAGAGGAUGUGACUUCUUAUGGUAUGACCCAGAAUCGUCAGAGAGAAGUAAGACAAUUAUUAAUGAGUUGAAGAAGAAUAAUAACAAAUUAAAGUUGGAGAUUAGUGAAUUGAAGAAAUGUAUUAGUUACGAGGGUAGAGUUGAAUACAAGGAUGUUCUGGAUGAUGGGAACAACAACCAUGUAAUAAUAAAGUUGAGUGAUAAAAUAUGUUCAUUGAAUAGGAAAUUUAGAGUUAUUGUCAUUGUAGUUGUAUAUACUUGGAUUGUGAUGAUGAGUAUGUGGUUGAUGUAACUUAUUUUUGAUGUAAUACUUGGAUUGUGAUGGAUUAUG